This 468-nucleotide ribosomal RNA is filed under the name uncultured bacterium. RNAcentral's name for it is "partial 16S ribosomal RNA". It matches the Rfam family "Bacterial small subunit ribosomal RNA", at positions 28 to 507 of the family's 1533-position model. The record is from RNAcentral.
GACGAACGCUGGCGGCGUGCUUAACACAUGCAAGUCGAACGGAAAGGCCCUGCUUUUGUGGGGUGCUCGAGUGGCGAACGGGUGAGUAACACGUGAGUAACCUGCCCUUGACUGUGGGAUAACUUCAGGAAACUGGGGCUAAUACCGGAUAGGAGCUCCUGCUGCAGGGGGGGGGUUGGAAAGUUUCGGCGGUUGGGGAUGGACUCGCGGCUUAUCAGCUUGUGGGGGGGGUAGUGGCUUACCAAGGCUUUGACGGGUAGCCGGCCUGCGAGGGUGACCGGCCACCUUGGGCCUGAGAUACGGCCCAGACUCCUACGGGAGGCAGCAGUGGGGAAUCUUGCACAAUGGGCGGAAGCCUGAUGCAGCAACGCCGCGUGCGGGAUGACGGCCUUCGGGUUGUAAACCGCUUUCGCCUGUGACGAAGCGUGAGUGACGGUAAUGGGUAAAGAAGCACCGGCUAACUACGUG